CCCGUUAUUUACGCGUCCGCCUGCCCAGUGGCCCAGCUAAACGGCCGCGGUAUCUUGACCGUGCAAAGGUAGCAUAAUCACUUGUCUUUUAAAUGGAGACUUGUAUGAACGGCGAAACCUUUUUCAACUGUCUCCCUUUCCACCCUUACAAAUUUCCUUCUGUGUGAAGAGGCACAGAUACCUCAGAAAGACGAGAAGACCCUGUCGAGCUUUAGCUGCUAAAUGAACUUUCACCCACUAGUCAUCAUCUAAAAGCUUUGGUUGGGGCAACCACGGAGAAAAAAAAUCCUCCAGAACGAAUAGAAGAAAACCAUUCACUAUUAUUAAUAACUAUAGAACCAGAAACUGGUAUUCGGAAGAAGUUACCGCAGGGAUAACAGCGUCAUCUCCUCUAAGAGUCCUUAUUGACGAGGAGGUUUGCGACCUCGAUGUUGGAUUAAGGCCCCCCCUAGGGUGCAGAAGCUCUAAACGGUUAGACUGUUCGUCUAUUAAAGCCUUACGUGAUCUGAGUUCACACCGGAAGA
RNAcentral lists this ribosomal RNA (524 nucleotides) under Holothuria arenicola. RNAcentral describes it as "partial large subunit ribosomal RNA". It matches the Rfam family "Bacterial large subunit ribosomal RNA", at positions 1839 to 2624 of the family's 2925-position model. Lineage: Eukaryota; Metazoa; Echinodermata; Holothuroidea; Aspidochirotida; Holothuriidae. The record is from RNAcentral.